Vigna unguiculata (cowpea) is the source of this 1284-nucleotide long non-coding RNA. RefSeq lists it as uncharacterized. The record is from RefSeq and is a predicted model, not a curated record. NCBI's taxonomy places the organism in Eukaryota, Viridiplantae, Streptophyta, Magnoliopsida, Fabales, Fabaceae.
CGUUGGGACCCUUGGAACAGAAUUAGAAUUUCAUGGGAGUGAGCAUAUUCCAACGGAAUAUUUGCUCAGAGCUUCUUUUCUCUGCUAGCGUUUGAGGCAUAUUAUUUGGUAUCAAACAUAUUCUCUUCGUCAUUUAUCUUUUCCCUUUCUUCUCUAUUCAAAUUCCUCAUCCACGUCUCAGACAAACCAACCCAGCUUCCAGUGCGUAUUGUUCACAUCAUUGUUCACGGGUACUGCUCAUGUCAUUGUUCACGGACACUAUUUGUGUAGCUCAAAAGGAGUGCCAGAUGAUCCAAAGAAGGUGAAAGCCAUUCAAAAGUGAGGUUUGCCUCGGUCCAAGGGAGGAAAGGACUAAAUUUUUGUGAUGGUUGACAUGUUUUGUACUACGACUCACGUCACAACAUGAAAAAAGGUAGAUGACACGUGUCAUGUUGCUGAUAUGUUCUUCAAGGAAGUGGUGAGAUUGCACGGUUUACUUGGGAGUAUUGUAUGUGAUCACGAUUCCAAAUUUUCUAGUUACUUUUGGUGAACUUUGUGCGGGUAAGAUCAAAACCAAAUUGUUGUUUUCAACUGCAUGUCAUUCCCAAACCAAUGAACAAAUUGAAGUGGUUAAAGAAAAUUAUGUCAAGAAGUUGCAUGAGCAGGUCAAUGCAGAAAUUGAGAAAAGAAUAGAAGGUUAUGCUAAACAAGCCAACAAAGGAAGCAAGAAAGUGGUAUUUUGAGGAUAGAGAUUUGGUAUGGGUACACAUGAGGAAGAAGACUCCCUUAACAAAGAAAAUCCAAGAUCCAACCUAGAAGGGAUAGGCCAUUCUGAAUGCUAGAAAAGAUCAAUGACAAUGCCUAUAAGAUUGAUUUUCGAUAGGCAGCGAGGGAAUGAUGUGACAUCGAAGCCUAAGGACAUGAUUAGAAUGAUCAACACCAAGACCAAGUUCAAGAUUUAGGUGGAUCCAUGACUAUAGAAGACUUAGAAAAGACAAAGAGGCAUUACAAGAUAAGGUCGCUCAUCUAAUGAAGGCUAAAUUGUGGAAGGCCCAACAAUUUUAGGACACUAGGUUGAUUACAUGUAUAACAUGUUUGAAGGGCUAACAUCAAGUUGUUUAAAAUAUUAAUUGAAUUAAGCUUAUCAAACUCUAUUUUUGACGAUCAUCCUUAGGCUUAUUGAACUCUUUGUUUCUAGGAAUAUUUGUGGUAGGAGGUGUUUGGAAACUCAUUUUGGGGAAUGUUGACACUCUAGAAUCCUCAAUACUCAAUACAAAUUCACAGUUCACUUUGUCUUUCUAUUCA